GGCUCAGAUUGAACGCUGGCGGCAUGCCUUACACAUGCAAGUCGAACGGCAGCACGAGUGCUUGCACCUGGUGGCGAGUGGCGAACGGGUGAGUAAUACAUCGGAACGUACCUUAUCGUGGGGAUAACGCAGCGAAAGCUGUGCUAAUACCGCAGUACGCCCUGAGGGGAAGCGGGGAUCGAAGGACCUCGCGCGAUUAGAGCGGCCGAUGCCUGAUUAGCUUGUUGGUGGGGUAAAAGCCCACCAAGGCGACGAUCAGUAGCUGGUCUGAGAGGACGAUCAGCCACACUGGGACUGAGACACGGCCCAGACUCCUACGGGAGGCAGCAGUGGGGAAUUUUGGACAAUGGGGGAAACCCUGAUCCAGCAAUGCCGCGUGAGUGAAGAAGGCCUUCGGGUUGUAAAGCUCUUUUGUCAGGGAAGAAACACCGGCUCUAACACAGUCCGGGAGUGACGGUACCUGAAGAAUAAGCACCGGCUAACUACGUG
RNAcentral lists this ribosomal RNA (489 nucleotides) under uncultured bacterium. Its description in RNAcentral is "bacterial SSU rRNA". It matches the Rfam family "Bacterial small subunit ribosomal RNA", at positions 21 to 507 of the family's 1533-position model. The record is from RNAcentral.